UUGACAGCUUUGAAAGAUGAAGUCAUGCUCAAGAGGAAAACAACUACUGCAUUUGGCAGAUUUCACAUGCUGCUGCGGCCAAUGUGCCUCCAACCUGGCAUGGAGGAACAAUCUCUAGAGGCGGGAGGAUUGUUCAGUUUCCAUGCCAGUUCAAUCAUUGGCUUCU
This 166-nucleotide small RNA is filed under the name Chrysemys picta bellii (western painted turtle). Its description in RNAcentral is "TUC338 (ENSCPBG00000012311.1)". The record is from RNAcentral. Lineage: Eukaryota; Metazoa; Chordata; Testudines; Emydidae.